This 497-nucleotide ribosomal RNA is filed under the name uncultured bacterium. RNAcentral's name for it is "partial 16S ribosomal RNA". It matches the Rfam family "Bacterial small subunit ribosomal RNA", at positions 28 to 507 of the family's 1533-position model. The record is from RNAcentral.
GAUGAACGCUGGCGGCGUGCCUAAUACAUGCAAGUCGAGCGAACGGACGAGAAGCUUGCUUCUCUGAUGUUAGCGGCGGACGGGUGAGUAACACGUGGAUAACCUACCUAUAAGACUGGGAUAACUUCGGGAAACCGUAGCUAAUACCGGAUAAUAUUUUGAACCGCAUGGUUCAAAAGUGAAAGACGGUCUUGCUGUCACUUAUAGAUGGAUCCGCGCUGCAUUAGCUAGUUGGUAAGGUAACGGCUUACCAAGGCAACGAUGCAUAGCCGACCUGAGAGGGUGAUCGGCCACACUGGAACUGGGACACGGUCCAGACUCCUACGGGAGGCAGCAGGAGGGAAUCUUCCGCAAUGGGCGAAAGCCUGACGGAGCAACGCCGCGUGAGUGAUGAAGGUCUUCGGAUCGUAAAACUCUGUUAUUAGGGAAGAACAUAUGUGUAAGUAACUGUGCACAUCUUGACGGUACCUAAUCAGAAAGCCACGGCUAACUACGUG